This 301-nucleotide ribosomal RNA is filed under the name uncultured bacterium. RNAcentral describes it as "partial 16S ribosomal RNA". It matches the Rfam family "Bacterial small subunit ribosomal RNA", at positions 509 to 807 of the family's 1533-position model. The record is from RNAcentral.
CAGUAGCCACGGUAAUACGUAGGUGGCAAGCGUUGUCCGGAAUUAUUGGGCGUAAAGCGCGCGCAGGUGGUUUAAUAAGUCUGAUGUGAAAGCCCACGGCUCAACCGUGGAGGGUCAUUGGAAACUGUUAAACUUGAGUGCAGGAGAGAAAAGUGGAAUUCCUAGUGUAGCGGUGAAGUGCGUAGAGAUUAGGAGGAACACCAGUGGCGAAGGCGGCUUUUUGGCCUGUAACUGACACUGAGGCGCGAAAGCGUGGGGAGCAAACAGGAUUAGAUACCCCUGUAGUCCCUGUCUCUUAUAC